Molecule: ribosomal RNA, 253 nt
Filed under: uncultured bacterium
Lineage: Bacteria
Description: partial 16S ribosomal RNA
Rfam family: Bacterial small subunit ribosomal RNA
Source: RNAcentral
UACGUAGGGUGCAAGCAUUAAUCGGAAUUAUUGGGCGUAAAGGGCGCGUAGGCGGCCAAGUAAGUCAGAUGUGAAAUCCCGGGGCUCAACCCCGGAACAGCAUUUGAAACUGCGCGUCUAGAGGAUAGGCGGAGAAAACGGAAUUCCACAAGUAGCGGUGAAAUGCGUAGAUAUGUGGAAGAACACCUGUGGCGAAAGCGGUUUUCUAGAUUAGACCUGACGCUGAAGCGCGAAAGCAAGGGGAGCAAACAGG